This 439-nucleotide ribosomal RNA is filed under the name uncultured bacterium. Its description in RNAcentral is "partial 16S ribosomal RNA". It matches the Rfam family "Bacterial small subunit ribosomal RNA", at positions 339 to 795 of the family's 1533-position model. The record is from RNAcentral.
CUACGGGGUGCUACAGUGAGGAAUAUUGCACAAUGGGGGGAACCCUGAUGCAGCAACGCCGCGUGGAGGAUGACGCAUUUCGGUGUGUAAACUCCUUUUAUAUGUCAAGAAAAUGACGGUAGCAUAUGAAUAAGCACCGGCUAACUCCGUGCCAGCAGCCGCGGUAAUACGGAGGGUGCAAGCGUUACUCGGAAUCACUGGGCGUAAAGGACGCGUAGGCGGGUUGGAAAGUCAGGUGUGAAAUCCUACAGCUUAACUGUAGAACUGCACUUGAAACUUCUAAUCUAGAGUAUGGGAGGGGGAGAUGGAAUUAGUGGUGUAGGGGUAAAAUCCGUAGAUAUCACUAGGAAUACCUAAAGCGAAGGCGAUCUCCUGGAACAUUACUGACGCUAAGGCGUGAAAGCGUGGGGAGCAAACAGAAUUAGAUACCCUCGUAGUC